UCAAGUUACUAUNGGGUNUAUGGUGGAUGCCUUGGCAUGUAAAGCCGAUGAAGGACGUGGUAAGCUGCGAUAAGCUUCGGGGAGAUGCAAACAAUCUUUGAUCCGGAGAUUUCCGAAUGGGACAACCCAUCUAGAUUAAUAUCUAGAUACCUUCAAUUGAAUAUAUAGAUUGAAUGGAGACAACGAAGGGAAGUGAAACAUCUCAGUACCUUCAGGAAAAGAAAACAAUAGUGAUUCUCUUAGUAGCGGCGAGCGAAAAGGGAACAGCCUAAACCAUUUUAGUGUCAUGCCUGUCAGCUUAGCUAAAUGGUGUUGUGGGGAUAAAUCGUAGAAUGUGACAGAAUUCUAGAUGAGUCAAAAAAUAUGUAAUUAAAAGAAUCUGAUCAGGAAAGUUCAAGCCGUAGAGGGUGAUAGCCCCGUAUUUGAAAAUUUCAUAUCUCAUUUGAUUUAUUUCCCGAGUAGGGCGGAACACGUGAAACUCUGUCUGAAUCUGCCACGACCACGUGGUAAGGCUAAAUACUCUUACAUGACCGAUAGUGAAUAAGUACCGUGAGGGAAAGGUGAAAAGUACCCCGAGAGGGGAGUGAAAUAGUACCUGAAACCGUAUAUCUACAAGCUGUCGAACCUCUAUAUGAGGAACGGCGUGCCUUUUGCAUAAUGAGCCAGCAAGUUACUCGUAACUAGCAAGGUUAAGUUUUUAAGAAACGGAGCCGUAGGGAAACCAAGUCUGAAUAGGGCGUUUAGUUAGUUGCGGUAGACGCGAAACCAGGUGAUCUUACCAUGGCCAGGUUGAAGCAACAGUAAAAUGUUGUGGAGGACCGAACCGACUUGGGUUGAAAACCGAGCGGAUGAGCUGUGGUAAGGGGUGAAAGGCCAAUCAAACCUGGUGAUAUCUCGUUCUCUCCGAAAUGUAUCUAGGUACAGCGUUAUGUUAAAGUGUCGUGGAGGUAGAGCACUGAAUGGAUGCGGGGGCUUAUGCCUACCAAUUCUUAUCAAACUCCGAAUGCCAUUGACAUGUUCCAUAGCAGUGAGGCUAUGUAUGAUAAGGUUCAUAGCCAAGAGGGAAACAACCCAGACCUACAGCUAAGGCCCCUAAAUUUUUACUAAGUGAUAAAGGAUGUGAAUUAGCAUAGACAGCUAGGAGGUUGGCUUAGAAGCAGCCAUUCCUUUAAAGAAAGCGUAAUAGCUCACUAGUCAAGGUAAUCUGCGCCGAUAAUAUCCGGGACUCAAGUAAAAUGCCGAAGCUUAGGACUUCUUUGAAGUGGUAGGAGAGCGUUCUAUUAACCGUCGAAGGUUUAUCCGUGAGGAGAGCUGGAGGAAAUAGAAAUGAGGAUGCUGGCAUGAGUACGCGAUAAAACACGUGAAAUUCGUGUUCACCGAAAGCCUAAGGUUUCCUGAUCAAUGUAAAUCAGAUCAGGGUUAGUCGGCCCCUAACACGAGGCCGAAAGGCGUAGUGGAUGGGAAUCAGGCAAACUCAAAACAUUCCUGAACCUCCGACCCUUAAACAAGGAAAUCCAUUAAUCAGAUUUAUUAUGCUUAAUGAUUUGCAUAAUAAAAGUAGUUAGUGGCAAGAAAAAGCCUUGCGUAUGCUAAGGAGACCGUACCGCAAUCCGACACAGGUAGGCGAGAUGAAUAUUCUAAGGUGCUUGAGAGAAUUGUUGUUAAGGAACUCGGCAAAUUAGCCCUGUAACUUCGGGAGAAAGGGUGCCUACUUCGGUAGGCCGCAGUGAAUAGGGGGUAGCGACUGUUUACUAAAAACAUAGGUCUAUGCUAACACGUAAGUGGAAAUAUAUGGACUGACACCUGCCCGGUGCUGGAAGGUUAAGAUUCUUUGUUAUUUUACUUCGGUAUAAGAAGCUCGGAAUUGAAGCCCCAGUAAACGGCGGCCGUAACUAUAACGGUCCUAAGGUAGCGAAAUUCCUUGUCGGGUAAGUUCCGACCUGCACGAAUGGUGNAACGACUUCCCNACUGUCUCGACNACAAACUCAGNGAAAUUGUANUGUCGGUGAAGAUACCGGCUAACCAUAGAAGGACGGAAAGACCCCGUGAACCUUUACUANAGCUUGAUAUUGNCUUUNGAUCNUNNAUGUGUAGGAUAGGUGGGAGACUUUGAAGCAGNNNCGCNAGNNNUUGUGGAGUCAUCCUUGAAAUACCACNCUUGUAUUNUUGAAAGUCUAACCGUNUACCUUGAAUCAGGUAUCGGNACAGUGUCUGGUGGGUAGUUUGACUGGGGCGGUCUCCUCCUAAAGAGUAACGGAGGAGCUCAAAGGUUCCCUCAGCACGGUCGGUAAUCGUGCGCAGAGUGUAAACGCAUAAGGGAGCUUGACUGUGAGUCUGACAAGACGAACAGGUGCGAAAGCAGGAGUUAGUGAUCCGGUGGUUUCGAGUGGAAGAGCCAUCGCUAAUCGGAUAAAAGGUACUCCGGGGAUAACAGGCUUAUCUCCCCCGAGAGCUCAUAUCGACGGGGAGGUUUGGCACCUCGAUGUCGGCUCGUCACAUCCUGGGGUUGGAGAAGAUCCCAAGGGUUGGGCUGUUCGCCCAUUAAAGUGGCACGCGAGCUGGGUUUAGAACGUCGUGAGACAGUUCGGUCCCUAUCCUCUAUGGUCGUAGGAAAUUUGAAGGAAUCUGCUUCUAGUACGAGAGGACCGAAGCGGACGAACCUCUAGUGUACCUGUUGUUAUAUCAAUAGCAUCGCAGGGUAGCUACGUUCGGAAGGGAUAAGCGCUGAAAGCAUAUAAGUGCGAAACCCAUCCUAAGAUAAGAUUUCCCUGAAGACUUCCAGAAGAAUACUGGUUUGAUAGGCCACAGAUGUAAGUACAGUAAUGUAUUUAGUCGAGUGGUACUAAGUAGUCGUUCGACUUG
RNAcentral lists this ribosomal RNA (2862 nucleotides) under metagenome. Its description in RNAcentral is "bacterial LSU rRNA". It matches the Rfam family "Bacterial large subunit ribosomal RNA". The record is from RNAcentral.